AUACUUACCUGGCAGGGGAGACACCAUGAUCAUGGAAAGUGGUUUUCCUAGGGUGAGGCUUAUCCAUUGAACUCCUGAUGUGCUGACCCCUGUGAUUUCCCCAAAUGCUGGGAAACUCGACUGCAUAAUUUGUGAUAAUGGGGGACUGUGUUUGUGCUCUCCCCUG
Small nuclear RNA from Rattus norvegicus (Norway rat), 166 nucleotides. Ensembl annotates it as U1 spliceosomal RNA. Lineage: Eukaryota; Metazoa; Chordata; Mammalia; Rodentia; Muridae. The record is from Ensembl.